AGAUGUCUUAAAGCCUGGCUCCCAGCAUGUGCCUGCGAUUACCACCGCAAAUGGACAGACCGGUGGCCUGAUUGAUUGAUGGAUGAAAAGGUGGCACGUACCUGCCUCUUCUUGGAGUAUGGACGAGUCGAACCGGGCACAAGCAUGGAGCUGCGGGUGAGUCCCGGCUGGCGCUGGCGCGGCGCAGUGAGCACCAGCUGACGAAGAGGGCUCCCCGGCCUCGGCUCCUGCCUGACUCUCUCCCACCUCCGCCGGGGGCCCAGAAGGGACCUCCCCGGGAAAUCGGCGCCACCCAGCGGGCAGCCGCCUCAUCGCGCCUGGGCCGGCAGAGCCACACCCCGCGUCUCGCGUCACUGAGUCGCGUCACGGCUAUUGGCUUGUUCCUACUGUGGCGUCAUUAGAGCCCGGCCUCCGGCUGGGGCCACCCAGGCAACCGAUAUACACAGAGAACCACGUGGAGGAAAAGCACGCGAGUUUGGAGCGGGUGGAGCAGGAACAGAGGUGGACUGGAAUGUCACACGACGGGGCAGCUGGAAGGGCACCACUGAGUUCAGUACUUCAAAAUUGCCGUGCUCUACCUCUCCCCAGUGCACAAAAACACUCUCCACACCAAGCUGCUGCUGCUGGGGGAUGGAGGGAUGGCGUCAGCGAUUCAAGACUGUUUUUCCUACCUGUUCAGCACUUCUUUCAGCGAUAUGAAGUUAAAUCCAGUCUUUCCCUGUCUCCAGGCAUCAUCGCCAUCAACAUACAGCCAUACUCCAGGAUUGCCCAUCUUCAACAUAAACGGACUCUCCUGGACUCCACUUCCCACAUCAGUCACAGCCACACUUCCUGAGAAAGAAGUCUACACUCUUCAUUCACUUUCAUUCACCCACUUCCAACCUGGCUCCUGUUACCACUGGACCGUCAAAAGUGACUCUUGUCAAAGUCACUAUUCUGGCUACCUAUUGCUGUGUAAUAACCUCCUCAAAAUUUAGUAUCUUUAAAAAACAA
This is a long non-coding RNA of Homo sapiens (human), 993 nucleotides long. Ensembl annotates it as USP2 antisense RNA 1. Its record names the gene USP2-AS1. Lineage: Eukaryota; Metazoa; Chordata; Mammalia; Primates; Hominidae. The record is from Ensembl.